AUUAAUCUUCAGGGCAGGGUGUAAUUCCCGACCGGCGGUAAAGUCCGCGAGUCAUUUCAAUGACAUGAUUUGGUGCAAUUCCAAAACCGAUAGUAUAGUCUAGAUGAAAGAAGACAUAA
This is a non-coding RNA of Staphylococcus sp. CAG:324, 119 nucleotides long. NCBI's taxonomy places the organism in Bacteria, Bacillati, Bacillota, Bacilli, Caryophanales, Staphylococcaceae. The record is from Rfam.